GAUGAAGAACGUAGCAAAAUGCGAUAAGUAAUGUGAAUUGCAGAAUUCAGUGAAUCAUCGAAUCUUUGAACGCACAUGGCGCCCGCUGGUAUUCCGGCGGGCAUGCCUGUUCGAGCGUCAUUUCAACCCUCAAGCCCCCGGGUUUGGUGUUGGGGAUCGGCUCUGCCCUUCUGGGCGGUGCCGCCCCCGAAAUACAUUGGCGGUCUCGCUGCAGCCUCCAUUGCGUAGUAGCUAACACCUCGCAACUGGAACGCGGCGCGGCCAUGCCGUAAAACCCCAACUUCUGAAUGUUGACCUCGGAUCAGGUAGGAAUACCCGCUGAACUUAAGCAUAUCAAUAAGCGGAGGA
RNAcentral lists this unclassified non-coding RNA (348 nucleotides) under soil metagenome. RNAcentral describes it as "partial contains 5.8S ribosomal RNA, internal transcribed spacer 2, and large subunit ribosomal RNA". The stretch from base 1 to 120 matches the Rfam family "5.8S ribosomal RNA", at positions 35 to 154 of the family's 154-position model. The record is from RNAcentral.